RNAcentral lists this ribosomal RNA (467 nucleotides) under uncultured bacterium. Its description in RNAcentral is "partial 16S ribosomal RNA". It matches the Rfam family "Bacterial small subunit ribosomal RNA", at positions 28 to 506 of the family's 1533-position model. The record is from RNAcentral.
GACGAACGCUGGCGGCGUGCUUAACACAUGCAAGUCGAACGGAAAGGCCCUGCUUUUGUGGGGUGCUCGAGUGGCGAACGGGUGAGUAACACGUGAGUAACCUGCCCUUGACUUUGGGAUAACUUCAGGAAACUGGGGCUAAUACCGGAUAGGAGCUCCUGCUGCAUGGUGGGGGUUGGAAAGUUUCGGCGGUUGGGGAUGGACUCGCGGCUUAUCAGCUUGUUGGUGGGGUAGUGGCUUACCAAGGCUUUGACGGGUAGCCGGCCUGAGAGGGUGACCGGCCACAUUGGGACUGAGAUACGGCCCAGACGCCUACGGGAGGCAGCAGUGGGGAAUAUUGCACAAUGGGCGGAAGCCUGAGGCAGCAACGCCGCGUGCGGGAGGACGGCCUUCGGGUUGUAAACCGCUUUCGCCUGUGACGAAGCGUGAGUGACGGUAAUGGGUAAAGAAGCACCGGCUAACUACGU